This is a long non-coding RNA of Mus musculus (house mouse), 963 nucleotides long. RefSeq annotates it as predicted gene, 30658. The transcript has 3 exons. Lineage: Eukaryota; Metazoa; Chordata; Mammalia; Rodentia; Muridae. The record is from RefSeq and is a predicted model, not a curated record.
CUGAAAAGGCAAUGCUACAUGAUUUUUAAUAGUGACAACGUAUUAUUCCCUUUCUCUAACCAACUCCAGUCAUACAGGGAAAGGUAUUUUAGCCUCAGGAAAUUAGCCAUACUGUGGAACUUUUUGCACUGAAGUCUGAAAGAUGCUGAAAAGCUCCCCGCAGGGACAUUCUCCUGCUUAUCAUCCUUCAGUGGCUCAUCACCAUCUAUAGAGAAAAGUCUGCACUUAGACCAAUAGAUGCUGUGACAUGUCAUCUUCAGCACAACCAUGGAGCAGCAGAGGCUGGAAUCAACUGGCAGCAUCUUCAUUUUCACCUGGUACCUGGGCUUGAACACAGCAAUAGCUGGAGUCUGGUCAGGCAUCUCUUCCUCUUUGCAUGGAGAACAUUGGCAACCCCACAGCACAGCGUAUUAGGGAACACUGUGUGUACCUAGAUUGAAGUCUGUAGAAUGGUACUCCUGAUGACUUCAGUGAAAGCUGUGAGGCUCUUCUGAUUUCCAAAGUCCCAGAAUCCUUCUUUCCUCACACUUUCUCUCAUCCUCUAUCCAUCUUCUAUUUCCCCUCCUCUUCGCCAAGCAGCUGGCUAAUGUCAGAUUCAACCUUCAACAGGAGAAGUUGGACAGAAGUUGUGUCCAUUUUAAUCUAAUUUUGUAUAUAGCUUAAUGUGUUAUUUAAAUUAUGUUUAUUUAAUCCCUUAUAUUUAAGCAGUUUUAAAUCUUUGGAGAAUAAAAUGCACUCGUUGUUCAGAGAAAUUAGAAAAAUAUUUUAUAAAUGGUGGUUAUUUCUUAUCCUUACAUUAUGCAAUAUACAAUGUGAAUGAUUUCUAACAUUACUGAUGAGUGUUAUUACUAUUAUUUUGUUAUUAAUGCCUCCUAUUGUUAUUAUUACUAUUAUUAUUACUUCAGAUAGAUUUCAUCUGCCUAGGCAAUGGACAUCAUUCAUUAAAUUUUUAUUGGAAACAUA